Molecule: long non-coding RNA, 1204 nt
Filed under: Nicotiana tabacum (common tobacco)
Lineage: Eukaryota; Viridiplantae; Streptophyta; Magnoliopsida; Solanales; Solanaceae
Description: long non-coding RNA (NTAB_LNC007284)
Source: RNAcentral
GUAGGUCUAUCUCUAAUCCUAGAGCUACUGCCAAUUUUCUGUAGCUAGCUUGAGUUGGUAUUAGCCAUUUAAACUUUGAAAAUGGCUAUGUGGAUACUUCCUACAUCCUUUUUCAUGAGAUGAUGAAUAGUUAUCACAAGAUAUUUGAGAAAAUUUUUAAGGAGCCAUUCAGUUAUUUAAAAACAAACUGAAGUCAAUCACCAUUAUUACAAAGUUGUAUGAUAUACAUGUAUAAUCCUAGAAACUUAAACGUGUUCAAGAGUGUUGAGUUCUGAGCCAUCAUCAUUUUGAUUUGGUCCUUUCUGCCUCAAAUAUCACAGUUUUUCUUCUGUGGAUAUCACAGAGUAAACAUCACAAUAUAGGCAGAAGCUUGUAUAAUUUCAAUCUAGUAGAGGCCACAAAAUAAAACAUUAUGCUGAUACUGUUGUGAAUUGUAUAAAAAAACAUGGAACUACACCAUUAUUGGAGACCAAAUAAAAAUUCAUAGAUAAUGUCUAGUAAUAUACAACAGCCAGCUUUACAGAGUUAUCAAACAAUCAGAUACCAGAAGAGGCUCCUCGUUGAGUCACUAUUAGAGAUUAAAUGAGCCAACUUUGAAAAAUAAAGGGGCAAUCUUCACAUGCCAAGUCAUUAGGAAAUUAUUCCAUCCAAGAAUUAACAUACUUUACCAUCACUACUGUUUCAAAGAAUCAAAUGCUAAUAUACUGUAAUGACUCCAUUUCACAAGUGAAUCAAUUCAUCAACCAUGAACAAAUAUUGACAUACACACAAAGCAAAAAGAUUUGUAGUUAAACAUCAGGAUUCUAACAGAUUCGGCAUGUUCAUAGAGUUAGCAACUCAAAUAUUCAUUCAUUUUUUCAAAUAGAAAAUAACAAAAGUAAGCGGACGCACCUAAAGGCAGAAAACAACAAUUAGAGGACCAAAUAAAGGUAUGAACUUCAAAGCUGGAGCUCAGCAGCUCCAAAAACGAGCAACCCCAACAGAUUCGACAACUUCAAUAGCUCAAACCAUUUAGAGAAAUCCCAAAAAAUGUACAACAAUUGAAUGAAAACCCGAAACCAACUUUAAAUCUUCCUUUUCAUCGUUUUUUUCUCUUUUCUUUUUUUUUUUUUUUUGAUUUUUCGGAGUUCUUUUUUUUAGAUCUGAAAUUCGGUACUUUUAAAUCCAGAUGUUUCUGUUUGUGAAAGUGAGAAAGGAAUGAAGA